RNAcentral lists this ribosomal RNA (252 nucleotides) under uncultured prokaryote. RNAcentral's name for it is "partial 16S ribosomal RNA". It matches the Rfam family "Bacterial small subunit ribosomal RNA", at positions 525 to 777 of the family's 1533-position model. The record is from RNAcentral.
ACGUAGGUGACGAGCGUUGUCCGGAUUUACUGGGCGUAAAGAGCGCGCAGGCGGUCGUUCAAGUCGAGUGUGAAAGCCCCGGGCUCAACCUGGGAACUGCAUUCGAUACUGGGCGGCUAGAGUAUGAGAGAGGGAGGUAGAAUUCCACGUGUAGCGGUGAAUGCGUAGAUAUGUGGAGGAAUACCGGUGGCGAAGGCGGCCUCCUGGUUCAAUACUGACGCUGAGGUGCGAAAGCGUGGGGAGCAAACAGGA